UACACCAGGCAGUCCUAAUCUGCAAAAUCAGAUAUUCAAACCCAGAUUCACCAUUUCAUGUGUUUUUUCUUCCACCAUUUUGUUGUAGUAAGACUCUAUGUACCUCCUAGAACUAGAAGGCAACGAUAGAGGGAGUAGGGGUUGUGUUGUGGCUAGGUAAGACUAUCUUUGAAAUGGUGAUUCUAGGUUUUGAAUCUCUGAUUUUGCAGAUAAGGACUACCUGGUGUC
This 228-nucleotide microRNA precursor is filed under the name Glycine max (soybean). Its description in RNAcentral is "miR10188 stem-loop (gma-MIR10188)". Lineage: Eukaryota; Viridiplantae; Streptophyta; Magnoliopsida; Fabales; Fabaceae. The record is from miRBase by way of RNAcentral.